UGAAGACAUGUCUCUACUUGCCUCUUAAACUGUCUGGGGCACUGUGGACCUUCUCCUUCAAGAGCACUCAAAUUCACAAAGAUGGAACCCAUCUAAAUAUUUGCACUGAGAGUUGGACAUUUUGUUCAGGAGUUGGUGUAUAAGGGGAUCCAAUUCAUCAGAUGGAAUGAGGCAGUGGGAAUCCAGGCGAUGGGAGGUAUUGAAAGCAGGGGUGAGGAAGGAUGUCCAAUAGAGAUAAAUUAUCAGAAUAAAAACACCAGCUCUCCACAGGAGACAACAGAGAUCCCAAUGGACACAGAGACUAGAUGCUCAACAGCCAGUAACAUAAACUCUCAGAAUUGACAAUAAAACAUCGAAAUGGAGCAGCGGUUGUCAGACGGGAUCUUGGCAAAGACAAGGAAAGCAAUUUGAGGGACCGAGGAAGAAAAAAGUUGAAGAGGACAAGGAAGUAUAACAAGAAAACAAUGAGAAAGGAAAGGAUGACCAAGAGACAUCAAAUAUGGAAGGCAUGCUGUCACCGGCCAGCAUUCAAGAGCCUCCCAAAUCUCACCGGCAUCUCCACUCACCAGGAAAACUCACAAAGGCGACUCAAGUUCAGGAACGAUCACAGGCUGGUACCUGAAAUCACCUGAAAAAAAGCUGAGCAUGGCUACCUCCUAAACAAACAAGGUGAGAAAACUGAGGCUCAGAGAGUGAGGAGAAAUACCCUGGUUCCUCCCUUCCUCCAGUCAUCUGGUCUUUCUCUGUGGCCACCCAUCGAUGGAACUCAGCUGGAAUUGGUUGGCAGGGGACCCAGGGAAAUAAAGUUUGCAGGAGUUAGCUCCUUGUGGUGCAGAGCAAAGCAGAAGAAGAACAGGGAUUGGAUCUGAGACCAAACAGAAUGCCUGGUGAGAAGCUUCUUCUGAUUUCACAGCCAAAAGGAAUGUGUCCUGACUCUGAAAGAUGAUAGCACUUGAUCCAGAAAUUUCCUUCUGCACUGAACACUAUUUAUCAUAUUUGCUUGUGUAUAUAAUAUGUUAUUCACAAGUCUUUUCUCCUUUGGUCGAUAGCCUGUAAAAUUCUCUUGGGUAAGAUACAAGUGCAAAUUAUUAUCACUCCUGUCAUAACGGUUAGCCCCACGCCUUGCUCAAUAAAUAUUAUUUAAUGAGGAAUGAUGCAUUUUCAAUGCCUGUGCUUCUUUAGACUAAGGAGUAUAGCAACAUGUCAGGAGGGUAUGCCAACUACAAGAUAAACACCAUACAUUUCCCUGGAGAGUCAAUUUCACAGUGUGGUAACUUUAAACACAAUU
Balaenoptera acutorostrata (minke whale) is the source of this 1288-nucleotide long non-coding RNA. RefSeq lists it as uncharacterized. NCBI's taxonomy places the organism in Eukaryota, Metazoa, Chordata, Mammalia, Artiodactyla, Balaenopteridae. The record is from RefSeq and is a predicted model, not a curated record. The transcript is spliced from 6 exons.